This 592-nucleotide ribosomal RNA is filed under the name Microbacterium sp. RNAcentral describes it as "bacterial SSU rRNA". It matches the Rfam family "Bacterial small subunit ribosomal RNA", at positions 241 to 843 of the family's 1533-position model. Lineage: Bacteria; Bacillati; Actinomycetota; Actinomycetes; Micrococcales; Microbacteriaceae. The record is from RNAcentral.
UCAGCUUGUUGGUGAGGUAAUGGCUCACCAAGGCGUCGACGGGUAGCCGGCCUGAGAGGGUGACCGGCCACACUGGGACUGAGACACGGCCCAGACUCCUACGGGAGGCAGCAGUGGGGAAUAUUGCACAAUGGGCGGAAGCCUGAUGCAGCAACGCCGCGUGAGGGAUGACGGCCUUCGGGUUGUAAACCUCUUUUAGCAGGGAAGAAGCGAGAGUGACGGUACCUGCAGAAAAAGCGCCGGCUAACUACGUGCCAGCAGCCGCGGUAAUACGUAGGGCGCAAGCGUUAUCCGGAAUUAUUGGGCGUAAAGAGCUCGUAGGCGGUUUGUCGCGUCUGCUGUGAAAUCCCGAGGCUCAACCUCGGGCCUGCAGUGGGUACGGGCAGACUAGAGUGCGGUAGGGGAGAUUGGAAUUCCUGGUGUAGCGGUGGAAUGCGCAGAUAUCAGGAGGAACACCGAUGGCGAAGGCAGAUCUCUGGGCCGUAACUGACGCUGAGGAGCGAAAGGGUGGGGAGCAAACAGGCUUAGAUACCCUGGUAGUCCACCCCGUAAACGUUGGGAACUAGUUGUGGGGACCAUUCCACGGUUUCCG